CGCCUCCACGGCGUGCUGCAGGAUGGAGGUGAACUUGGAGAACAUCCUGUCCCGCGACUGCAGCAGCCGCUGCCGGGACGACCGCGAGAGCUCCUCGAUCCGCCGCCGGCGCCGCUCCAGGACGUGGAAAGCUACAGUCCAAGUACUGUAUGGAAAUAAACACUGUACAUGGACACCUUUACGGGAGUUGCUAAGGAGCAGAGCUAGCUAUUUCCAUCUGAAAAUGCAGACAUAUCAAAUAACAUACAUUUUAAAGAUACUAUUUGGGAGCUUGCACUGUUUCUGAAGAAAGUGUGGAUUUAAAGCACACGUGCUUGGUUAAGCUGUCUAAUUUAAAAUGAAGAGCUUCCUGAAGUCUGGACUUUUGCUUCAGAAAGGCUGAGGAUUUGGAAUGUACAUUUCUGUACCCCAGAGUGAAAACAUGCUAGUGGAGCUGAUAUCUGUUUAUAUUCUGUGCAGGAAUUUAUUGUGUUUAUAAUAACCAGGUGGACAUGUAUGUUUUCAGUGACUACUUGGAUGAAAUAAAGAAUGAAGUGUUAGUGGC
Pezoporus occidentalis (night parrot) is the source of this 544-nucleotide long non-coding RNA. RefSeq lists it as uncharacterized. Lineage: Eukaryota; Metazoa; Chordata; Aves; Psittaciformes; Psittacidae. The record is from RefSeq and is a predicted model, not a curated record. The transcript is spliced from 4 exons.